UGGGGGAUAUUGCACAAUGGGCGAAAGCCUGAUGCAGCGACGCCGCGUGGGGGAUGAAGGCUUUCGGGUUGUAAACCUCUUUCGCUAUCGAACAAGGCCCGCUUAGGGUGGGUUGAGGGUAGGUGGAGAAGAAGCGCCGGCUAACUACGUGCCAGCAGCCGCGGUAAUACGUAGGGCGCGAGCGUUGUCCGGAAUUAUUGGGCGUAAAGGGCUUGUAGGCGGCUUGUUGCGUCUGCGGUGAAAACGCGGGGCUUAGCUUCGCGCGUGCAGUGGGAACGGGCAGGCUUGAGUGUGGUAGGGGUGACUGGAAUUCCAGGUGUAGCGGCGGAAUGCGCAGAUAUCUGGAGGAACACCGAUGGCGAAGGCAGGUCACUGGGCCAUUACUGACGCUGAGGAGCGAAAGCAUGGGUAGCGAACAGG
RNAcentral lists this ribosomal RNA (420 nucleotides) under bacterium. Its description in RNAcentral is "partial 16S ribosomal RNA". It matches the Rfam family "Bacterial small subunit ribosomal RNA", at positions 355 to 776 of the family's 1533-position model. The record is from RNAcentral.